AACGAACGCUGGCGGCAGGCUUAACACAUGCAAGUCGAGCGACCCGAAAGGGGAGCGGCAGACGGGUGAGUAACGCGUGGGAAUGUGCCCUUUGGGCUGGAAUAACUCAGGGAAACUAGAGCUAAUACCGGAUAAGCCCUUCGGGGGAAAGAUUUAUUGCAAUUGGAGCAGCCCGCGUCAGAUUAGCUAGUUGGGGAGGUAAAAGCUCACCAAGGCGGUGAUCUGUAGCUGGUCUGAGAGGACGACCCGCCACACUGGGACGGAGACACGGCCCAGACUCCUACGGGAGGCAGCAGUGGGGAAUAUUGGACAAUGGGGGCAACCCUGAUCCAGCCAUGCCGCGUGAGUGAUGAAGGCCUUAGGGUUGUAAAGCUCUUUUACUCGGGAAGAUAAUGACUGUACCGAGAGAAUAAGCCCCGGCUAACUUCGUGCCAGCAGCCGCAGUAA
This 447-nucleotide ribosomal RNA is filed under the name uncultured bacterium. RNAcentral describes it as "partial 16S ribosomal RNA". It matches the Rfam family "Bacterial small subunit ribosomal RNA", at positions 29 to 523 of the family's 1533-position model. The record is from RNAcentral.